GGCUUGUUUUAAUUUUGGUAGCAAGUUCCGGAAAUGGGUCUUAACUUUAUACUCAAAUAUAUCUAGUCUUGUCGUUAAUAAUGGAUUUAGUUCUAGUCCGUUCAAAAUUGAGAGAGGUGUUCGACAAGGGUGUCCUUUGUCUCCUUUUUUAUUUAUUUUGGCCGUUGAACUGCUGGCAAUAAAUAUUCGUAAGAACAACCAUAUAUCAGGUAUAAAAAAUUGGGGAUACUGAAAUAAAAAUUUCACAGUUGGCUGAUGAUACCACUUGUUUUUUGAAAGAUGUAUUUUCUGCGCAAAUUUUAUUAGAUUCCUUUAAUGAUUUUGAGAAGUGUUCAGGGUUAAAAGUCAAUUUUUCGAAAACCGAAGCAACAUGGAUUGGAAGAAAUAAAUUUAACAAAGAAGGUUCCCUUCCUAUUAAAUGGACAGAUGGUUUUAAAACCUUAGGUUUAAAAUUUAACGCUUUUGAUGAAAUGGUUUGUUCUAACUUAGAUACAUGCAUAGAAAAAAUGGAAUCAAUUAUUAAAAUGUGGAGGAUCAGAAACCUUUCCUUGAUCGGUAAAAUCGUAAUUCUUAAAUCACUUGCAAUAUCGAAGCUUAUUUAUGUCAUUUCAUCUACACAUGUACCAAGAUCUUAUGUAAUUAAAAUACAAAGGGACAUUAAUAACUUUUUAUGGAAUGAUAGUACUCCGAAAGUUAAAUCGGAAGUUAUUCAAAAGUCUCCUAGCGAGGGGGGACUGAAAGCACCAAAUUUUGAAGUACAGCUGUUAUCCUUUCGUAUCAUGUGGGUAAAACGAUUUUUGUCAGAACAUGACUCUAAAUGGAAACAUGUUUCCAAAGCAUUCUUCUCCCUUUUUGAUUUAGAGGACUUAUUUAUGAGCAGAUGUGAAUUUGAGUUUUUAAAUUUAAAAGCACCUCUUUUUUAUAUAGAAGUGCUAUCUGCUUGGAAACGUUUCAAGGGUAUUUUCAUCCCGUUAAAUGCAUUUCAUGUUAGAAAAGAAUUUAUUUGGUUCAAUCCGUUUAUCAAGGUUAACAGAACGAGUAUUUUUUACAGAUCUUGGUACACGAAAGGCAUAAGGUUCAUUAAUGAUAUUGUAGAUGAUAAAGGCGAAUUUUUGUCUCAUGACGCUAUUAACAAAAAAUAUAAUUUGAAUGUUACUUUUGUAGACAUUCUUUCUAUUAAACUUGCUAUACCACGUGACUGGAAAGAUUUGUUAUUACAACAACACAUGUCACCUAAGAGCAACUCUUUUGGAUUCGUUUUUGAGCAUGAGAAUAAAAAAAUGCCUAUUAGCAAAUUAUAUACUAAAGAUGUAUAUUCACUUUUUAUCGAUCGGGUAAGUGUUUCUCCUAUUUCAC
RNAcentral lists this long non-coding RNA (1356 nucleotides) under Mytilus galloprovincialis (Mediterranean mussel). Lineage: Eukaryota; Metazoa; Mollusca; Bivalvia; Mytilida; Mytilidae. The record is from RNAcentral.